CGAUGAAAUUAAAGAGAUGUUUGAUUUUUCAAAGUGGGACUCAAAAAACAAAGUUGUAGCGCAGACAAAAAUUAUUCCAGAAAAUAAAUGUAAUGAAUUAACAAUAGAGAAGGCGUCAAAAAACGUUGCAGAAUCCAAGUAAUUAUUGCCAGAGCAAAGAAAAGUUUUAGCAUAUUUUGGCUAUUCCAACCCAAUUGUAACUCAUAUUUUAACAGACAAAGACCUGCAGACUGAUUGAAAACUUCUUCAUGCUGAAGUUAUCAAACAUGACAUCAAUGUCGUAAAAGACUUAGUUAAUCCAGACACAUUUUUAAAACUUCAGAAAAAUGUGCUACAUCUUAAACAAAGUUGGAGUUGUUUGAGUUGUAACAAACCACAAUUUGAAGACAUGAUUGAGUGUGAAGAUUGUUUGACUUGGUACCACUGGUAAGUUUGAAUGCAUAAACCAGAAAAGUAAAAUGGCAGCAUAUAUUGUUGUACAAGAAUUAGCCAAUUAUUCUAAUUUAUGCUUUUAUAACAGUUACUUUCUUGGAUUUAUGCAAAAUAUUUUCAUAACAUGAUAAAAAUGUAAAUUAUACAAACAAAGAAAUGUAUUUGUCUCUUU
Non-coding RNA from Hydra vulgaris (swiftwater hydra), 604 nucleotides. Lineage: Eukaryota; Metazoa; Cnidaria; Hydrozoa; Anthoathecata; Hydridae. The record is from RefSeq and is a predicted model, not a curated record.